Molecule: long non-coding RNA, 1953 nt
Organism: Vespula pensylvanica (western yellowjacket)
Lineage: Eukaryota; Metazoa; Arthropoda; Insecta; Hymenoptera; Vespidae
Exons: 5
Source: RefSeq, a predicted model, not a curated record
UUUUAAAUUAGUUUCUCAGAUAGAAUAAAAAUUAUACUAUAUAGUCUGAUGUAUAAUUGAUAGUUAGCGAUUAAUAGGUAUAUGUGAUUUAUUCAAGAUGGCGAAGUGUGAUUACCAUAUCCAGAAAAAUUUUAAAGAAUCUAAGAGAAAAAUCCUUUUAGAGAUUUUUGCCGAUUUACUUUUUACAAAGUAAGAUUGAGAUUGGGCAUAUCUAUUAGAUUUACUAGAUGAAGAAUGUCAGAACAAGUAGAAUUGAUGAAAAUAAAUUAUGAAAGAAGUUGCCUAUGAUAAAAAAAUAUGAUCCAAGAUCAAGUAUAUCUAUCGCAAAGAUCAAAGUGUCCAUAUGAAAACCAGUAAUAAUUUUCAAACGAAUAAGAAAAUGGACAGUUCCCGGAGUAAUGUUUGAACAGCAGCGAUGAAAUAUCUCGACGAAGUUAUCGUAAAAUAACCAUUGGUUUCAGUUAUGGAUCCAUUCGAUAAAGAGCAUCAUCAUCAAUAUCAUAUUCCAACGUAGAAACGAUGCUUUAAAUCAGUAACAUUCGAAUAUUCCAUCUGAUGGUGAAGUAUAGUCUAAACGAUCAGCUUCAGAAACAACAAAUGGAUCAAACUAAGCAUGUGGAUAUUAAUUUGGAACUGGAAUUUCAACAAAAAAGAAUGGAAAAAGAGUCGAAAAAGAGAAUAAACGAUUAAUUAAAAUGAUAGAAGAUAUAAAAUAUAAUAAUCCUGAAGAAAGAUCUUGAAAAAGAGAAUGGAAGAUUAAUUAGAAUGGUAAAAGAUAUAAAAUUCAACAACUACUGCUCAUCAUCAUAGUGACAUUAUGCCUGCCAUUUGCAAGAAAAGAAGAGAUUACAAAGGAAUGUUCGAAAUGCAGUUUGUUCCCAUUCAUUGUCUAUGAGCGAGAAGUUAAAUUCAACUCAACAGAAGAUUGACAAACUUUUCAACGAGCUCAGUUCAGUGCACAAAACUUUUUUAUUAUGGUGUUGUUCUCGAAAUCAUUACGCAACUUUUUAAACAACUUUUUUACUUUAUAUGUGCAAAUAUGUAGAAUAAUUUAGUACUGAAAUAUGAAGUAACUGAAAUAUACUUUGAUCAUGCACCUCAAUAAUGCAUGAAUUCCUUCAUUUUCAAUCAACGAUAUAAAUAAUCAAGUUGGUAUUACAUUGAUUAGGUAUAAUUUGAGUCAUUUGGAACAGUGUAGAAAAAAACGCAUAGGAAUUACUACUCGAGCAUUGACUAUCCAAGCAGUAUAACUUUUUCAAGAGCAGAAAUCUGAUAUAGAUGUGAAUUUCAUUUGCAAUAAACUUAAGAUCAAUCAGAUAGUGAAAAUAUUAAAUUAUACACCGACAAAUAAAUUCGAAACACGAGUUUCUUAUCUUUUAUAAGAAAAGUAGAAACCAAAUUGUCCAAACGUAAUGAGAAUAAUGAACGGGUACUUGUGCGUGCGUGCGCGCGUGUGUGUGUGUGUGUAUUUAUGUGGAGUGUAUAAAUAUGGAAAUAUAAGGUGAUGGAUAUAUGUUUGACCAAUCAUUGAUGUAUCGACGAUGCCGAGUACUGAUCUUUUUGAAUUGUCCAUAAACAAAUGUUUUUCAAUAGAUAAAUAGCGUUUUUCGUUUUCAUUUAAUGACUAAAAGUCUGUAACAGGCAAGACAGUUAAAUCUAUGCAGUCGUGCCAGAAGAAUAUAAUAGAAGUACGUAAAAAGUCAAUCUCCUCUAUCAAAACAUCGAAACGAAAAACAAAUUAGCAAAGUAAAAGCAUCUAAGAAAAAAAUCUAUUCUUCGUAUAAAAUGUUUGUCCUCUUACUAUUAUUCUUCAUGUGAUUGUUAUUCAUAUAACGGCGGAUAGUGCUACAAUUGCACGAUACACAGAAAUAAAACACGUUGUAAAAUACAAUUUUAAUGACAAUUUUUAAUUAAUCAAUUUAUUUAUUUGUAUUUAUUUCUUUCGUAAUUUAU